AGUAUGUAUGUUUAAGGAAAAAAAAAAGUAGAAGUGAAAGUUAUUAAAGGGUGGUUAUUGGUUAUUUUUUUUUAAUUGAGUGAUAUGGGUAGUUAUGAAUAAAAAGGGUGGUUAUUGGUUAUUUUUUUUUAAAAAAAAGGGCUAGAUUUUUGUUUUUGGAGGAAAGAAGGGCUAGAUAUUAAUUGAGUGAUAUCAGUAGUUAUGAGAAAAAUGGUGGUUAUUGGUUAUUUUUUUAUAAAGAUAAAAUAUAAAAAUAGAAGUGCUAGAAUUGCAAGGAUGAGUAUUUGAAGUGCUGUGAAUGAAAGUUGCAAAAACAACUCUUAAAUUAUAUAAAAGAUUUCUUUAAUUCUUUCAUUAAACUUAUACUUCAUCUUUUAUGCACACUUCAUCCCUUCAUCUUUAUCUUUCUUCUUUAUUUCAACCUUUUCCUAUUCUCUCUUUAAUUUUAGCCCCCGCCACCUUCUAUUUAAGCCUCUUUUUCAAUUAAAGUUCCAAAAUUUGAAUUUCCUUAACCAUGUUUUCGAUUACAUAUUAUACCCAUAAUGACUUAUUGAUAUUUCCUCACUCAUCUCUCAAUGCAAUUUUAUAUGAAUAACCCGUGCAUUACAUCGGCCAAAAGGCUAGUUCUUAAAUAGGUUUUUUUUUUUUUUUUUUUUUUUUUUUUUUUUUUUUUUUUUUUGAAAGUAGACUAUUUGAAAGUUAUCAAAUAGUUAGUGGUAGAAAAUUUAAAUCAAAAUCGCACAUCAUCAUCAUAAAUUAAAAAGUAGACUUCAUUUUAGGCUUUUUGUAGAAUCCAAAAUCCGAAAGAUAAUAAAUACCACAAGGAAUCAAUUAAGGAAUCUUCAUCAUCAAUGUAGUAUCUAGAAACUCUAUAUUUGAGAAAAAAAAAAAAAAAAAAAAUUCGUACCACUAUCUUUAAUUAUAACCCAGAACAAUUUUACAAAUCUCCACUCUCAAGUAAAACCCAACUCAAAUUUUUUAUUUUUUAGUUUUUAGUUUUUGUAAUUUUUGUUGUUUGUAGUGGAGUUAAUCGGGUUGCGGAUCUGUCAUGAAAGAUACUGUCAAAAGAUAUCUUUUUCAAUCCUUCUUACCGUAUAUCCCUUGGUCCCAAAAGGCUACCCAAUUUCACCCUUUUUUCAUCUCAAAUUUCCAGAAAAAGUAGAGGAAUUAAGGGUCUAUUAACGGGUAUUUUUUUUUAAUUUUGUACUUUUGGUGAUUUUUUAAAAUAAAAAAAUAAAUUUUGAGUGAUUUUGGUUCGAAUUUAUAUUGUGGAAGAAGAAGGGGAGCAAGAAUGUUGGAAUUGAGAGAUUACACUUGCUUCCCACCUUUAAUUGUUGUUGUUUAUGCUACCCUUGCUUGUGUUGAUGCGACUAUUGCUGUGAUUGCAUUUUUUCAGUUGGUGAGGAUCCACUCUAGAAGUGCGCAACUUGGUUGGACCCGGCAAAAGGUCUUUCAUCUCAUGAUUGGUCUUUGCAAUUUGGGGUAUGUUGUUUUCUUUGUAUUAACUCUCGUCGCUACUUGCAAAGGAUGGUCAUGCUGGUCAAGCUCCUGCGGCUUUGUGUUCAUGGCCUUCCCUAAGAUCCUUUUAUUUGCAGCAUUUCUUCUGCUUCUGUCAUACUGGGUGGAUCUUUGCCAUCAAGCUGAUGAUGAAGAGGAUGAGGGAGACAGUAGUUCUUGUGAAGCUUUGUUGGAUAAGACCACCAGUAAGCCACCUUUAUCAAACAUUGAUGGUAACAAAAAUUGUCUACCUGUUCCAUCACUUCAUGUUGGAAGCCGCCAAAGAUUUGUUAUUUUGAUCAUGGUCGUAGUUCUUGUUCUAAUGACUGCCUUUGCUGUGCUAAUUUGGAUUGGGAUGGGAAGGAAUCCAAUUGAUUCAUCAACUGUUGCUCGGGUCUAUGUGGAUAUUUUUGCAGUCGGCACAUUUUUGCUGGGAGGGGCAUUGGCAUGUUAUGGACUCCUAAUAUAUCUGAAAAUGAGCAAAGUAAGAUCUGAAGGUGCUUCAUCUGAGAUGUGGAAGGUCACUGGUCUUGCCGUUGUUUCUCUUGUGUGUUUCACAACAAGUGCUCUUGUAGCUCUUCUUACUGAUGUUCCGGUUCUUUAUCGUUGGCGCCAAGAGCACAUUAGUGUGUAUUGUACUGGUAUCUUAUUGAUGUUGUACUAUUUUAUAGCUCUUGCAUGCAGGUUCAUCAGCACCCGCAGCCUUUGUAUUGUGGGUCAUGAGAGAGCUACCACCUUCUAGGGUGGCCGAUAGAGCUGAAGAAUCAACAAUAGUAACCUUCAUUAGUGAUGGAUCAACAGGAGUAGAUAAUCCUCAACGCUGGACUGCAGUAACAAGCUUGCAAAAUCAGGGUUCAAAAGCAAGUCCCAUCUAAUGUAGUGGUCUGAAACAUACCUGGAUGAAAUUUCUUGGCCAGAAUAUUGCACUUCACUAGCAAAAGGUUGGGCAAUUUGACAUUUUGAGUUUUGCAAGAAACUGGUUUUAUCGUAUCGUGUGGUGCUUACUCAACAACCAGAGUUAUACCCCUGUAAUUCAAUUGUUUUUCUUUGAAAUAUCUGUACAUAGUAGAUCCACUCUUCUGAUCCUCAAAGGGAGGGUUGGAGGAUGCUGGAAGGUAGCCAACCUCUCUCUUGACCUAGAAAAUUGUGAAAUUUUGUAGCUCAGCUCGGUGAAACCUGUCACUAUGGCGAGUAUAAUCAUAGUUUACAUGCAUCUAUAAAGAAAUUGUCACAUUGUCCUAACCUGUUAAAUUAAAGAUUACUAUAAUUUUUGUAAGAUAUACUUUCUAACAGUUCACUUCCAUUA
RNA transcript from Chenopodium quinoa (quinoa), 2803 nucleotides. It is a transcript of the gene named tobamovirus multiplication protein 1-like, with no coding region annotated. Lineage: Eukaryota; Viridiplantae; Streptophyta; Magnoliopsida; Caryophyllales; Amaranthaceae. The transcript is spliced from 13 exons. The record is from RefSeq and is a predicted model, not a curated record.